This 491-nucleotide ribosomal RNA is filed under the name uncultured bacterium. Its description in RNAcentral is "partial 16S ribosomal RNA". It matches the Rfam family "Bacterial small subunit ribosomal RNA", at positions 28 to 507 of the family's 1533-position model. The record is from RNAcentral.
GGUGAACGCUGGCGGUAGGCCUAACACAUGCAAGUCGAACGGCAGCACAGUAAGAGCUUGCUCUUACGGGUGGCGAGUGGCGGACGGGUGAGGAAUACAUCGGAAUCUACUUUUUCGUGGGGGAUAACGUAGGAAACUUACGCUAAUACCGCAUACGACCUACGGGUGAAAGCAGGGGAUCUUCGGACCUUGCGCGAUUGAAUGAGCCGAUGUCGGAUUAGCUAGUUGGCGGGGUAAAGGCCCACCAAGGCGACGAUCCGUAGCUGGUCUGAGAGGAUGAUCAGCCACACUGGAACUGAGACACGGUCCAGACUCCUACGGGAGGCAGCAGUGGGGAAUAUUGGACAAUGGGCGCAAGCCUGAUCCAGCCAUACCGCGUGGGUGAAGAAGGCCUUCGGGUUGUAAAGCCCUUUUGUUGGGAAAGAAAAGCAGCAGGUUAAUACCCCGCUGUUCUGACGGUACCCAAAGAAUAAGCACCGGCUAACUUCGUG